RNAcentral lists this unclassified non-coding RNA (352 nucleotides) under soil metagenome. Its description in RNAcentral is "partial contains 5.8S ribosomal RNA, internal transcribed spacer 2, and large subunit ribosomal RNA". The stretch from base 1 to 120 matches the Rfam family "5.8S ribosomal RNA", at positions 35 to 154 of the family's 154-position model. The record is from RNAcentral.
GAUGAAGAACGUAGCGAAAUGCGAUACUUGGUGUGAAUUGCAGAAUUCAGUGAAUCAUCGAAUCUUUGAACGCACAUUGCGCCCGCCAGUAUUCUGGCGGGCAUGCCUGUUCGAGCGUCAUUACAACCCUCAGGCCCCCGGGCCUGGCGUUGGGGAUCGGCGGAGCCCCCCGUGGGCACACGCCGUCCCCCAAAUGCAGUGGCGGUCCCGCCGCAGCUUCCAUCGCGUAGUAGCUAACACCUCGCGACUGGAGAGCGGCGCGGCCACGCCGUAAAACACCCAACUCUUCUGAAGUUGACCUCGAAUCAGGUAGGAAUACCCGCUGAACUUAAGCAUAUCAAUAAGCGGAGGA